CCUACGGGGGGCAGCAGUGGGGAAUAUUGCACAAUGGGGGAAACCCUGAUGCAGCGACGCCGCGUGAGUGAAGAAGUAAUUCGUUACGUAAAGCUCUAUCAGCAGGGAAGAAACACUGACCUUACGGUCAGCAGACGGUACCUGAGUAAGAAGCCCCGGCUUACUACGUGCCAGCAGCCGCGGUAAUACGUAGGGGGAAAGCGUUAUCCGGGAUUACGGGUUGGAAAGGGAGCGUAGACGGUGCGCCAAGGCUGGAGUGAAAUGCCGCAGCUUAACUGCGGAACUGCUUUGGAAACUGGCGAACUAGAGUGCGGGAGGGGUAAGCGGAAUUCCUAGUGUAGCGGUGAAAUGCGUAGAUAUUAGGAGGAACACCGGUGGCGAAGGCGGCUUACUGGACCGUAACUGACGUUGAGGCUCGAAAGCGUGGGGAGCAAACAGGAUUAGAUACCCGGGUAGUC
RNAcentral lists this ribosomal RNA (458 nucleotides) under uncultured bacterium. RNAcentral describes it as "partial 16S ribosomal RNA". It matches the Rfam family "Bacterial small subunit ribosomal RNA", at positions 338 to 795 of the family's 1533-position model. The record is from RNAcentral.